AAAUUGAAGAGUUUGAUCAUGGCUCAGAUUGAACGCUGGCGGCAGGCCUAACACAUGCAAGUCGAGCGGAAACGAGUUAUCUGAACCUUCGGGGGAUGAUAACGGCGUCGAGCGGCGGACGGGUGAGUAAUGCCUAGGAAAUUGCCCUGAUGUGGGGGAUAACCAUUGGAAACGAUGGCUAAUACCGCAUAAUGCCUACGGGCCAAAGAGGGGGACCUUCGGGCCUCUCGCGUCAGGAUAUGCCUAGGUGGGAUUAGCUAGUUGGUGAGGUAAUGGCUCACCAAGGCGACGAUCCCUAGCUGGUCUGAGAGGAUGAUCAGCCACACUGGAACUGAGACACGGUCCAGACUCCUACGGGAGGCAGCAGUGGGGAAUAUUGCACAAUGGGCGCAAGCCUGAUGCAGCCAUGCCGCGUGUGUGAAGAAGGCCUUCGGGUUGUAAAGCACUUUCAGUCGUGAGGAAGGUAGUGUAGUUAAUAGCUGCAUUAUUUGACGUUAGCGACAGAAGAAGCACCGGCUAACUCCGUGCCAGCAGCCGCGGUAAUACGGAGGGUGCGAGCGUUAAUCGGAAUUACUGGGCGUAAAGCGCAUGCAGGUGGUUUGUUAAGUCAGAUGUGAAAGCCCGGGGCUCAACCUCGGAAUAGCAUUUGAAACUGGCAGACUAGAGUACUGUAGAGGGGGGUAGAAUUUCAGGUGUAGCGGUGAAAUGCGUAGAGAUCUGAAGGAAUACCGGUGGCGAAGGCGGCCCCCUGGACAGAUACUGACACUCAGAUGCGAAAGCGUGGGGAGCAAACAGGAUUAGAUACCCUGGUAGUCCACGCCGUAAACGAUGUCUACUUGGAGGUUGUGGCCUUGAGCCGUGGCUUUCGGAGCUAACGCGUUAAGUAGACCGCCUGGGGAGUACGGUCGCAAGAUUAAAACUCAAAUGAAUUGACGGGGGCCCGCACAAGCGGUGGAGCAUGUGGUUUAAUUCGAUGCAACGCGAAGAACCUUACCUACUCUUGACAUCCAGAGAACUUUCCAGAGAUGGAUUGGUGCCUUCGGGAACUCUGAGACAGGUGCUGCAUGGCUGUCGUCAGCUCGUGUUGUGAAAUGUUGGGUUAAGUCCCGCAACGAGCGCAACCCUUAUCCUUGUUUGCCAGCGAGUAAUGUCGGGAACUCCAGGGAGACUGCCGGUGAUAAACCGGAGGAAGGUGGGGACGACGUCAAGUCAUCAUGGCCCUUACGAGUAGGGCUACACACGUGCUACAAUGGCGCAUACAGAGGGCAGCAAGCUAGCGAUAGUGAGCGAAUCCCAAAAAGUGCGUCGUAGUCCGGAUUGGAGUCUGCAACUCGACUCCAUGAAGUCGGAAUCGCUAGUAAUCGUGGAUCAGAAUGCCACGGUGAAUACGUUCCCGGGCCUUGUACACACCGCCCGUCACACCAUGGGAGUGGGCUGCAAAAGAAGUAGGUAGUUUAACCUUCGGGAGGACGCUUACCACUUUGUGGUUCAUGACUGGGGUGAAGUCGUAACAAGGUAGCGCUAGGGGAACCUGGCGCUGGAUCACCUCCUUAAACGAUGAU
Molecule: ribosomal RNA, 1562 nt
Filed under: Vibrio owensii
Lineage: Bacteria; Pseudomonadati; Pseudomonadota; Gammaproteobacteria; Vibrionales; Vibrionaceae
Description: bacterial SSU rRNA
Rfam family: Bacterial small subunit ribosomal RNA
Source: RNAcentral